RNAcentral lists this ribosomal RNA (253 nucleotides) under uncultured bacterium. RNAcentral describes it as "partial 16S ribosomal RNA". It matches the Rfam family "Bacterial small subunit ribosomal RNA", at positions 524 to 776 of the family's 1533-position model. The record is from RNAcentral.
UACAGAGGGUGCGAGCGUUGUCCGGAAUCACUGGGCGUAAAGGGCGCGUAGGCGGCUUGAUAAGCGUGCGGUGAAAGCCCGGGGCUCAACCCCGGGUCGGCCGUGCGAACUGUCGAGCUGGAGCAAGCUAGGGGGUAAUGGAAUUCCCGGUGUAGUGGUGGAAUGCGUAGAUAUCGGGAGGAACACCAGUGGCGAAGGCGGUUACCUGGAGCUUUGCUGACGCUGAUGCGCGAAAGCGUGGGGAGCGAUCCGG